This 561-nucleotide ribosomal RNA is filed under the name uncultured Alphaproteobacteria bacterium. RNAcentral describes it as "bacterial SSU rRNA". It matches the Rfam family "Bacterial small subunit ribosomal RNA", at positions 338 to 916 of the family's 1533-position model. Lineage: Bacteria; Pseudomonadati; Pseudomonadota; Alphaproteobacteria. The record is from RNAcentral.
CCUACGGGAGGCAGCAGUGGGGAAUAUUGGACAAUGGGGGCAACCCUGAUCCAGCCAUGCCGCGUGAGUGAAGAAGGCCCUAGGGUUGUAAAGCUCUUUCAGAUGUGAGGAUGAUGACAGUAGCAUCAGAAGAAGCACCGGCUAACUUCGUGCCAGCAGCCGCGGUAAUACGAAGGGUGCUAGCGUUGUUCGGAAUUACUGGGCGUAAAGGGCGUGUAGGCGGAUGAUCAAGCUAGGGGUGAAAGCCCAGGGCCCAACCCUGGAACUGCCUUUAGAACUGAUUGUCUAGAAUCCGUAAGGGGAGUGUGGAAUUCCUAGUGUAGAGGUGAAAUUCGUAGAUAUUAGGAAGAACACCAGUGGCGAAGGCGGCACUCUGGUACGGUAUUGACGCUGAGGCGCGAAAGCGUGGGGAGCAAACAGGAUUAGAUACCCUGGUAGUCCACGCCGUAAACGAUGUCUGCUAGCCGUUUGGACACUUAGUGUCUGGGUGGCGCCGCUAACGCAUUAAGCAGACCGCCUGGGGAGUACGGUCGCAAGAUUAAAACUCAAAGGAAUUGACGG